Molecule: long non-coding RNA, 3202 nt
Organism: Felis catus (domestic cat)
Lineage: Eukaryota; Metazoa; Chordata; Mammalia; Carnivora; Felidae
Exons: 2
Source: RefSeq, a predicted model, not a curated record
GUUAGGUUCCUGGGUCAAGAAGCUUCACCUUUCUGAGAAUGGGAAGAACAAGGGGAAAAAUUAGAAAGAACAAUGCCAACAUCCAAGAUUUAGUGGUAGGAGUAGAAAGAUCCAACAACAGCAUUACUCAAACAGGUCCAUAAAAUCCAAGAAUGAAGGGGAAAAAAGGGGGAGAGAAAGAAGUUUGUUGGACAGGUAUGGGUCUGUCUCCUAGUAUAUAUGUCUUAUCAUGCAGUCCUAUCUGCAGGGGAAAAAAAAAAACACAAAAAAAUUGACCUGUGUGCUUUGGAGAAUACACUGAAAUUGAAAAUAUACCAAGAGCAGCCUUGUUCUGUGAAAAAGAGGAUACUCAUUUAAUUCUUCACAAGUAGGUGCAAUAAAUGGUUGCCAGUGUUGUGGCAGAAUUUAACUGAAGAUGCAGGGACACAAAGGAGGCUAUGAAAAUUUAAUAUCUCCCUGGGCCAGAAUAGACUCUAAGUAGAGGUGAAACUUGAACUGCGUGGUCAAAGGUGAGUAGAUGUGGUAUGGGUGGACACUGUAGAGAAGGGCAGGUGAGAGUGAGCACCUCCAUGGUGGCUCGGGAUAAAUAACAGGGCAUCAGGGGCAAAUAGUGCAAAAGGCAUCUGCAGGGGAGUGGCAGCCAAUGAGGCCCCGGAGGACCACAGCAGGGGUGUGAUCACAGAGGCAUGUGUCCCUUACCCCUGCACGGAAACAUUGUUUACUAAACGAUGGGGAAAUACAGAAGAAGAGAAACGGCAUGGCCACAUGUGCAGGAACAUCAGAAAAUGAACUUGGUGCUCAAACUGCAAGUGGAAGCAAGCCAAAUUGGAAGAAAUGAGACCAGAUGGAGAACUCCACAGUUACACUUGAAGUGAAAGCCAAGCUGUGGGGAGGAAGAUGCAGGAAAGAGAGAUGGACCUCGGAGAUGACAAGGAGGAAGUCACACCAAGAUCUGGUCACCAGCUGGAGGUGGGAGGCGAGGAGAGAAUGAGAAGCGUGAUAUUUGGGUUUUGACUUUCCAUUCCUGGGCUGAUGGUGGUGCAUUCCAGUAAAGGAACAGAGGAGGAGAAGGUAUGAAUGGGAAAGACAAAUCCAGCUCAUUUAACUGAAUUUGUUUGAGAUGACUGAGGGCAUGUGCCGUGGUGCAAUGUGGAGGGUAGGUGAAUACACUGGUCUGCAGCUCAAGAGAGUGAAGGUAGAAGAUACGGAUUUGGAGCACACAGGGGAGAGCCGAAGUCAUGGCAGGAAAGCUCGCCCCAGGGCAUGUGCCCAGAGUGCUCAGGGGGCUGACCGCAGCCUCUGGGGGAGAGUAUUGCGGGUUCACCAUGAAAUUAACUAAGCCUAAGCUUCUGGGCCCUUCACCUGCAUAAUCCUCUUCUAAAGAAAUACUCUUUGUACUGAAUUGUUAUAAUUUUGUUUCCUUAAAGAGAGGCUUAAAUGUAGGCGUUGUGUAAACAUCAGGUUCCAUAAAACCUAGACCCCCGCUGUGAGGAUGGACCCGGAGUGGGGGAGGAGCCCACAGGAUAGACCAGUCAGGAGUGGAAGACCAAGAUAAGAAUGCUAUAUCUGAAGCUAAGAGAGGAUGAGGUUUGAAGAGGAGGCUAUGGUUAACAGUCCCCAAGGAACCCAAGUCAGUGGGGCUUGAAAGAGCCCUUUGGUCUUUCUCGACAGUUUGGAACAUGCUUGAAGACAAGGGCUUGCUCUCUUCUCUGAGUGGACGGCUGGAGGAGAAGGUGUGCGGCCAGGCACAUGGGAUGUCACAGGAAGUUGUACCUGGCUACCUUUAUUUCUUUUCAAAGCAAAAAAAAAUCAUAAAAAUAAAAUAAGGGCAUCUGCUAGAGGAAGGGACGUGGCGGAAGGAGCUUGGGGAGGUGGUGAAGGUUUAGGGUGCCCUUGGAAUGCAUCAGGAGAGGAACUGACCAGAGCCUCUUACAGAGGGGUGGGAAAUUUGGGGGGACUUCCGGCCUCAGUGUUUGGCUGCGAAUGGGAUCGGAUUCGAUAACCAGUAAGCUCUCCUCCAUCUCUUUCACUUUGAACGUGAGGGAUACGGAGCCUUAGAGCAGUUGUCACACUUGUUUGCUCAGUGGACUCGCUGGGUAAGUUCCACACCCAGAGACCGUGACUGCAUUGGUCUGGGCUGAGGUCUAGGCAUUGACAGUGUUUGGAUUCCAAGGUGGUUCUGGUGUACAGCCAAGACUUAAAAUCAUUGCUUUAGUAAGAUUACCUGAGGAUAUUAUAUACUGAAAAUAUAAUAACUGACAAGGUAAGUUCUUCUAUGCUUAAUGUUCAGCCUAAGGAGGUGAAACGUUGCUGUCUAUGCCAGGAGUCCCGAUUCCUAGAUCUGUCUGGUUUUGUUAUUUCCCUUUGGACAUGUGUUUGCAUUAGAAUCCAAGAGGUAGGACAUACCAUUGAUAUCUUAAUAGCUAACUUGUAUCCCUCUCUGUGGCAAACACAUGCAUUAUCAAGUUUCACUCUUCAAAUAAUCCUAUGAAGUAAAGAUUCACAUAUUCCCCAUUUUACAGAUCAGAAAACUGAGCCACAGAAGGAUGAAAUAAUUUUCCCAUGGCCACCUAGCUAGUAGCCCCAGAUGGUAAGCCAUCUGGGCACAUUCAAAACUUCUAGACCGUUAUCUUUCAUUUAACCUAAGUAGGGCUGACCCCACCACUCACUAGAAACCUCUUUCAGCUAUCUUGUCCCUGCCUUUUCAAAACUUCAGAGUCCCACCCCACCCCAUGUCUCUUUCCAAUGUGUUCACUGUUUUGCUUACCUUGCUGAUUCCAUGGAAUCAUGGCAUUUGCAUUACUAUCUGCUGUACUCAAAACUGAUGCUAUUUUUCUAUUGUUUUAGAUGGAUCCAAAAUGUUCCUUAAACUUGGUCAGUUUAUAUGUAGCCACUCAGAGAGGAAGGAACCUUCUACUUUCCUUCAAGGUCAGGAGGAUGUUCACCACUUCUGCAAUAGAUCAUUGCUUCUGGCAAUGAAGUAAACACUUCAUAGGGUCUGUCUCAUAAUACUCCCUGAAAAAACUGCUGUUCAGCUCCACCUUAACAGUCAGAGGAAAGUUAGCCUUCAUAUGUUUUCUUCAAUUAAUUUCUUUGGUUGCGUACAUGAAUUUGCGCAUUUGAAAGGAAAAAGUGUAUUAAAAGCCAAAAUUUGCAUGUGAACACAGUGCACAGGAAUUAAAAAUAAAAACAACCGAAGGAA